Molecule: long non-coding RNA, 2537 nt
Filed under: Capsella grandiflora
Lineage: Eukaryota; Viridiplantae; Streptophyta; Magnoliopsida; Brassicales; Brassicaceae
Description: long non-coding RNA (CGRA_LNC001147)
Source: RNAcentral
AAAAACAUUCUCCCGAGAUCUUCUGACGCAUCCGGAUACUCAUCAGAAAUCUAAAGUUUACGUAACAAUACGUCUAAACCCUAACCAUCAAAUUCUCUGACUCUAUUCCACAUCGAUGGCAAAAGCUUCUACAGUAGUCAGCUUCAUCACCCUCUUGCUCUUGAUCAGUUGCUUUGCCUUUCCUUGUGCGGCACGUGUUCGUCUUACUCUUGAUCAUGAGCACACGGGUGAUACCUUGGACGGCUUAGACAAGAAGCAACAAGACCUAAUCUCGAGCUCUGAUGACGAUGAGUCAUGCUUUCCACCCUACUUCGACACAAUUGAAGAUGAUGUCCUAUACUAUGAAUCUGAGCCCAUCUCGUUUACCGAACUGAUCAAAAAAGCCCAGUUUUCUGCCAUGAUGAGGCAAUAACUGUAGAUGGUUGAUGAAGCCAAUACCAAUGAUCUUAAAAAUCUCUCUCGUCUCUCUCUCUCUUUUCUUUUUUUCUUCGAUUUCAUUAUAGCUUGUAAUUUUUUUUUGCAAAUUUAAAUGUUAUCCCACGAGGAAUAAAUAUAUUUUUGAUAAAUAUUGUCUAUUAGUUAGUUAAUGUUUGGGUUAAUUAACAUAUAAAAACAAAGACGUACAAGUGAUGAGACCAUUCGCAAAAAGAACAUCAAUAAGCAAAACUUCUCGCUAGCUAGAUCUGAUCCUCAUACGAUUGAAGCACAUGUCAUUCGUGGAGCCCUAUGAAAUCUGGUUAUAUACCUCAACACAUGGUUUAGUGGUCCACUUAAAAUCCAUUUAAACAAGUAAACAACAUUGAAUCUUGACGACGACACCAUAGAUAAAAGAUGGUUUUCGUCUUUUGACUCCGUAACAUGGAAUAUAUAUUUAAUUUAUUUCAUCAUUAGAGAUAACAAGAGUAGACUUUAGUGAGACAACAUGCAAGAGCAUAUUUUUAUGGGGAAAUAGUACAGCUCCGAGCAAAAACACAAUUCAUUCCAGAAACCAUUGAUAGCGGUCCCAAAUCUCAUGGCACAACGUAACUUGUCACAUGAAGAUCAAUACAUAUAUUAGAGUCAUGAUGUUUUUUUUAAGGCAGUUUUUGUUCUUACAUUUUAUUUCUUGUCAAAUCUCUACCGAUAAUAUUUCUAAGUUCUUGUACUACAUUUUCGCAACAUAUAUAGCUCUCUUAACGAUACAUACCUUCAGUUUUUUUUUUGCAAGAUUAAAACCGAAAAAAUAGUGAAACUUCUUUGUUAAUUAGACUUACUUCCACACUUGGAUUAGAUUUUUAUUUAGGCUCCAAAGAUAAGUUCUAUCAUGUUUAAGUUAUAUUCAGAGGUUCCGUUUGUAAAUCAAAUUACUUGUAUUGUCUUGAUUUCAUGUUUUGAUUUGGUUGUCAGGCAAACCCAAAAACCCUCUAUAUAUAUAUAAUCGUAUCGUAUGUAAUAAUAGUUUAAUGAUCCUUUUGAGUUUGUGAGCACAGUGUGCGUCGUAUCUAGAAAGAUGAGAUAUACUCUUUCCUUUCCUACUAAUUUGAGAAAAACAAAAGAUGUUGUGUAUGGGUACUUUUAUUAUCCCAAAACGUGUGUUGUCUACUUGUAUUCCAAUUAGUAGAACUGAAACAACGAUGACAAAUUCUUGGAUGAUAUAUUGGAAAAUUUUAUGGUUACCUUUUUCUCCUCUUCACGGUUUUUGUCUUGGAUGAGUCAAACGAGUUGGUUAUUUGCGACCUUGGUUCAUAUUUUGAUUUGGAAUCUUAGGUUUUUCCAAGUGAAUUUGGGAGACAGAAAAAAGAAAGGAAAUUAAUUAAAGUCGGUCUAUUCAAUUAUAUUAGUUAAGGGAAUAAGGUUCUACCAAAAAAAAAAGGGAAUAAGGUCGGUUUGUAUACGUACGAGCAUCCUCUCUAUAUGUAUAUAUAUAGAACACAUGCACACCACAAACAUAUUACAAAUCACAAAAACAUUCUCUCGAGAUCUUCUAACGCAUAUAUCCGGACACUCGCAAACCUAAAGUUCACGUAACAAUACGUCUAAACCCUAACCAUUAAUUCUCUGACUCUUAUCUCUUUUUCCGAGAUUCCUCAUCGAUGGCAAAAUCUUCUACUAUAAUCAGCUUCAUCACCCUCUUGCUCUUGGUGAGUUGCUUUGUCUUGCCUUGUGCGGCACGUGUUCGUCUUACUCUUGAUCAUGAGCACACGGGUGAUACCUUGGACGACGGAGACAAGGAGCAACAAGACCUAAUCUCGAGCUAUGAUGAUGAAGAUGAAGCAUCACGCCUUCCACCCUUCUUCGACACAGUUGAAGAAGAUGUCAUACGCAAUGAAUCUGAGCCCAUCUCGUUUACCGAACUGAUCGAGAGAGCCGAAUUUUCUGCCAUGAUGAGGCGAUAUCGAUCUUUAGAUCCUUGAUGAAGCCAAUACCAAUAAUGAUCUUAAAAGAUGCCUCUCUCUCUCUCUCUCUCUUUUCUUUUUUUCUUCGCUUUCAUUAGAACUUGUAAUAUUUAUUUUAGCAAAUUUAAAUGUUAUCCCAAGAGGAAUAAAUAUAUAUUUGAU